Thermoplasmatales archaeon I-plasma is the source of this 85-nucleotide transfer RNA. It matches the Rfam family "tRNA". From Rfam's summary of the family: Transfer RNA (tRNA) molecules are approximately 80 nucleotides in length. Their secondary structure includes four short double-helical elements and three loops (D, anti-codon, and T loops). Further hydrogen bonds mediate the characteristic L-shaped molecular structure. tRNAs have two regions of fundamental functional importance: the anti-codon, which is responsible for specific mRNA codon recognition, and the 3' end, to which the tRNAs corresponding amino acid is attached (by aminoacyl-tRNA synthetases). tRNAs cope with the degeneracy of the genetic code in two manners: having more than one tRNA (with a specific anti-codon) for a particular amino acid; and 'wobble' base-pairing, i.e. permitting non-standard base-pairing at the 3rd anti-codon position. NCBI's taxonomy places the organism in Archaea, Methanobacteriati, Thermoplasmatota, Thermoplasmata, Thermoplasmatales. The record is from Rfam.
GCGGAGGUUGCCGAGCUAGGUCAAAGGUGCCAGAUUGAGGGUCUGGCUCCGUAGGGAUCCGAGGGUUCAAAUCCCUCCCUCCGCA